CGGGAGGCUGCAGUAGGGAAUUUUCCGCAAUGCACGAAAGUGUGACGGAGCGACGCCGCGUGUGUGAUGAAGGCUUUCGGGUCGUAAAGCACUGUUGUAAGGGAAGAAUAACUGAAUUCAGAGAAAGUUUUCAGCUUGACGGUACCUUACCAGAAAGGGAUGGCUAAAUACGUGCCAGCAGCCGCGGUAAUACGUAUGUCCCGAGCGUUAUCCGGAUUUAUUGGGCGUAAAGCGAGCGCAGACGGUUUAUUAAGUCUGAUGUGAAAUCCCGAGGCCCAACCUCGGAACUGCAUUGGAAACUGAUUUACUUGAGUGCGAUAGAGGCAAGUGGAACUCCAUGUGUAGCGGUGAAAUGCGUAGAUAUGUGGAAGAACACCAGUGGCGAAAGCGGCUUGCUAGAUCGUAACUGACGUUGAGGCUCGAAAGUAUGGGUAGCAAACGGGAUUAGAUACCCCGGUAGUCCAUACCGUAAACGAUGGGUGCUAGUUGUUAAGAGGUUUCCGCCUCCUAGUGACGU
This 517-nucleotide ribosomal RNA is filed under the name Oenococcus oeni. RNAcentral describes it as "bacterial SSU rRNA". It matches the Rfam family "Bacterial small subunit ribosomal RNA", at positions 342 to 849 of the family's 1533-position model. Lineage: Bacteria; Bacillati; Bacillota; Bacilli; Lactobacillales; Lactobacillaceae. The record is from RNAcentral.